This 1237-nucleotide ribosomal RNA is filed under the name Escherichia coli. Its description in RNAcentral is "partial 23S ribosomal RNA". It matches the Rfam family "Bacterial large subunit ribosomal RNA", at positions 612 to 1834 of the family's 2925-position model. Lineage: Bacteria; Pseudomonadati; Pseudomonadota; Gammaproteobacteria; Enterobacterales; Enterobacteriaceae. The record is from RNAcentral.
AUAAUGGGUCAGCGACUUAUAUUCUGUAGCAAGGUUAACCGAAUAGGGGAGCCGAAGGGAAACCGAGUCUUAACUGGGCGUUAAGUUGCAGGGUAUAGACCCGAAACCCGGUGAUCUAGCCAUGGGCAGGUUGAAGGUUGGGUAACACUAACUGGAGGACCGAACCGACUAAUGUUGAAAAAUUAGCGGAUGACUUGUGGCUGGGGGUGAAAGGCCAAUCAAACCGGGAGAUAGCUGGUUCUCCCCGAAAGCUAUUUAGGUAGCGCCUCGUGAAUUCAUCUCCGGGGGUAGAGCACUGUUUCGGCAAGGGGGUCAUCCCGACUUACCAACCCGAUGCAAACUGCGAAUACCGGAGAAUGUUAUCACGGGAGACACACGGCGGGUGCUAACGUCCGUCGUGAAGAGGGAAACAACCCAGACCGCCAGCUAAGGUCCCAAAGUCAUGGUUAAGUGGGAAACGAUGUGGGAAGGCCCAGACAGCCAGGAUGUUGGCUUAGAAGCAGCCAUCAUUUAAAGAAAGCGUAAUAGCUCACUGGUCGAGUCGGCCUGCGCGGAAGAUGUAACGGGGCUAAACCAUGCACCGAAGCUGCGGCAGCGACGCUGAUGCGUUGUUGGGUAGGGGAGCGUUCUGUAAGCCUGUGAAGGUGUGCUGUGAGGCAUGCUGGAGGUAUCAGAAGUGCGAAUGCUGACAUAAGUAACGAUAAAGCGGGUGAAAAGCCCGCUCGCCGGAAGACCAAGGGUUCCUGUCCAACGUUAAUCGGGGCAGGGUGAGUCGACCCCUAAGGCGAGGCCGAAAGGCGUAGUCGAUGGGAAACAGGUUAAUAUUCCUGUACUUGGUGUUACUGCGAAGGGGGGACGGAGAAGGCUAUGUUGGCCGGGCGACGGUUGUCCCGGUUUAAGCGUGUAGGCUGGUUUUCCAGGCAAAUCCGGAAAACUAAGGCUGAGGCGUGAUGACGAGGCACUACGGUGCUGAAGCAACAAAUGCCCUGCUUCCAGGAAAAGCCUCUAAGCAUCAGGUAACAUCAAAUCGUACCCCAAACCGACACAGGUGGUCAGGUAGAGAAUACCAAGGCGCUUGAGAGAACUCGGGUGAAGGAACUAGGCAAAAUGGUGCCGUAACUUCGGGAGAAGGCACGCUGAUAUGUAGGUGAAGUCCCUCGCGGAUGGAGCUGAAAUCAGUCGAAGAUACCAGCUGGCUGCAACUGUUUAUUAAAAACACAGCACUGUGCAAACACGA